CCCUUAGAUGUUCUGGGCUGCACGCGCGCUACACUGACACUAUCAACGAGUGCUCCUGGUUUGAAAGGAUCGGGUAAUCUUUUGAAAUGGUGUCGUGAUGGGGAUAGAUCAUUGCAAUUAUUGAUCUUGAACGAGGAAUUCCUAGUAAAUGUGAGUCAUCAGCUCACGUUGAUUACGUCCCUGCCCUUUGUACACACCGCCCGUCGCUCCUACCGAUUGAGUGAACCGAUGAGUAGUCCGGAUUGCGAUCGACCUCGGUUAAUCGCGAGAAGUUCCGCAAAUCACUUCACUUAGGGGAAGGAGAAGUCGUAACA
Molecule: ribosomal RNA, 314 nt
Filed under: uncultured eukaryote
Lineage: Eukaryota
Description: partial 18S ribosomal RNA
Rfam family: Eukaryotic small subunit ribosomal RNA
Source: RNAcentral